This 84-nucleotide microRNA precursor is filed under the name Oreochromis niloticus (Nile tilapia). RNAcentral describes it as "microRNA oni-mir-10866 precursor". Lineage: Eukaryota; Metazoa; Chordata; Actinopteri; Cichliformes; Cichlidae. The record is from miRBase by way of RNAcentral.
GUGAGUGAAAAAGGUGAUAAUUACAACUUUGACAAUUAUAUCACUUUUGCAAUUUUGAUAAAUUAUCUGUUUUUUUGCUCAUAG